CGAGGGGCAGCGGGGGCGAAGCUUGCUUCGCCUGCCGGCGACCGGCGCACGGGUGAGUAACACGUAUGCGACCUGCCCCCCGCAGGGGGAUAACCGGGAGAAAUCCCGACUAAUACCGCGUAACGCCGCGGGGCUGCAUGGCCCCGCGGCCAAAGGAAGCGAUUCCGGCGGGGGAUGGGCAUGCGGCGCAUUAGCUAGUCGGCGGGGUAACGGCCCACCGAGGCGACGAUGCGUAGGGGUUCUGAGAGGAAGGUCCCCCACACUGGUACUGAGACACGGACCAGACUCCUACGGGAGGCAGCAGUGAGGAAUAUUGGUCAAUGGGCGUAAGCCUGAACCAGCCAAGUCGCGUGAGGGAAGACGGUCCUACGGAUUGUAAACCUCUUUUGCCGGGGAGCAACGGGGUCCUUGCGAGGGCCUUAUGAGAGUACCCGGAGAAAAAGCAUCGGCUAACUCCGUGCCAGCAGCCGCGGUAAUACGGAGGAUGCGAGCGUUAUCCGGAUUUAUUGGGUUUAAAGGGUGCGUAGGCGGGCUGUUAAGUCAGCGGUCAAAUGUCGGGGCACAACCCCGGCCUGCCGUUGAAACUGGCGGCCUCGAGUGGGCGAGAAGUAUGCGGAAUGCGUGGUGUAGCGGUGAAAUGCAUAGAUAUCACGCAGAACUCCGAUUGCGAAGGCAGCAUACCGGCGCCCGACUGACGCUGAGGCACGAAAGCGUGGGUAUCGAACAGGAUUAGAUACCCUGGUAGUCCACGCAGUAAACGAUGAAUGCUAGCUGUCCGGUUCUACG
RNAcentral lists this ribosomal RNA (786 nucleotides) under uncultured bacterium. Its description in RNAcentral is "bacterial SSU rRNA". It matches the Rfam family "Bacterial small subunit ribosomal RNA", at positions 63 to 834 of the family's 1533-position model. The record is from RNAcentral.